Molecule: unclassified non-coding RNA, 488 nt
Filed under: uncultured Glomus
Lineage: Eukaryota; Fungi; Glomeromycota; Glomeromycetes; Glomerales; Glomeraceae
Description: SSU rRNA
Rfam family: Eukaryotic small subunit ribosomal RNA
Source: RNAcentral
AGCAGCCGCGGUAAUUCCAGCUCCAAUAGCGUAUAUUAAAGUUGUUGCAGUUAAAAGCUCGUAGUUGAAUUUCGGGGUCAGUAGGUUGGUCGUGCCACCGGUACGUACUGGUCUCACCGAUUCCUCCUUCCUGAAGAACCGUAAUGCCAUUAAUUUGGUGUUGCGGGGAAACAGGACUGUUACUUUGAAAAAUUAGAGUGUUUAAAGCAGGCUAACGCUUGAAUACAUUAGCAUGGAAUAAUGAAAUAGGACGAUCGAUCCUAUUUUGUUGGUUUCUAGGAUUGACGUAAUGAUUAAUAGGGAUAGUUGGGGGCAUUAGUAUUCAAUUGUCAGAGGUGAAAUUCUUGGAUUUAUUGAAGACUAACUACUGCGAAAGCAUUUGCCAAGGAUGUUUUCAUUAAUCAAGAACGAAAGUUAGGGAUCGAAGACGAUCAGAUACCGUCGUAGUCUUAACCAUAAACUAUGCCGACUAGGGAUCGGAUGAUGUU